RNAcentral lists this unclassified non-coding RNA (819 nucleotides) under Panicum miliaceum (proso millet). RNAcentral's name for it is "partial contains 26S ribosomal RNA-18S ribosomal RNA intergenic spacer and 18S ribosomal RNA". Lineage: Eukaryota; Viridiplantae; Streptophyta; Magnoliopsida; Poales; Poaceae. The record is from RNAcentral.
UUUCCCGAGUUUGCGCAAAGGAUUCAUUGAGGAUUUAUUCUCGUUUCCUGUGUACAUGCUUGGGGAGUUUGAUGGUCGGUCACAUGUCUUUGACCUCUGUCCUCGAGCUUCCGAAUAUCUGCACCGUUUGGCUAAGGCUAGUCACUAUACGAUUGACUCUGGUGAGGGAGAUGGUUAUAUGCUGGCUUCGGCUGGCGAGUACGGUYCGGAUUGAAAYGGAACGUGCUUAUGAUUGGCCCGAUAUUGUACGUUAUCGCGCUCAGUGGUCCGUCGGUUGCCUUCCUCACAAGUAGACUUGACGUGCAUAGCGYGGAGUGAUGCUUUGGAUGGCGUAACCGUCGUGUAGCAUUGGCGCAUGAGAUGUGUUGGACCUGUGACUGCUGGGAGGCCCCCCGCCCUUGUGCGGCUGACUCUCGGCGCCUGUGUCCCUUCARUCCCGUGGGCACCAUGCCCGACCCUCAUCGAGUGCUUGCGUGCUGCUACCUGUUCAUCGGGAAKUUGCAUUCGCUACAAGUUGCCUUCGUCGCGUCCACCCUUUGGGUGCGAUGCGUCGGCUCUAUGGCCAAUUGUCGUUGCCUCGUGGUAAUGGUCUUAUCRGCCAAGUCCACCAAGGCURCCUCGUUUGUGCUAUUGAUCUUGGAUGACGCUAACGAUAUAGGGUGAGGCAGCUUCGGCUCCUCAUUCCUUUCAAAGUUGGAACCUUCAAAUCAACGACAGUCGGCCCGGUUGAUGCCUAGUGUAGAAACCGUUGUCGCCUUGUCGAGGAGGACGUGCUACCUGGUUGAUCCUGCCAGUAGUCAUAUGCUUGUCUCAAAGAUU